This 66-nucleotide transfer RNA is filed under the name Marmota monax (woodchuck). RNAcentral's name for it is "tRNA.Thr". The record is from RNAcentral. Lineage: Eukaryota; Metazoa; Chordata; Mammalia; Rodentia; Sciuridae.
GGUAUAGCUCAGUUGGUAGAGUGCUUAUCUUGUAAGCACAAGCCCUGGGUUCAAUCCCCAGCACCA